Molecule: non-coding RNA, 72 nt
Organism: Hanseniaspora uvarum DSM 2768
Lineage: Eukaryota; Fungi; Ascomycota; Saccharomycetes; Saccharomycodales; Saccharomycodaceae
Source: Rfam
GCUCUGCUGGCGUAAUGGCAACGCGUUUGACUUCUAAUCAAGAGAUUCUGGGUUCGACCCCCAGGUGGAGUG